GAUGGAAUGUUUUCCCCUUGUCAAUUUGUGACAAAAAGGGGGAGAGAGAUAGUGUGCUUAAGUCUUGAUGGAAUUUUACUCAAGUCUUCAAGGAAGGUGCUUAACUUUUCAGUUUGGUUUUUGCUCUCCUAUGGUGUUUGAUAUACGUGGUUCAGAGAUAGUGUGGAUAUAGAUGGUAUUGGUGUUGAUAUAUAAUAUAUCCUCUUAUUGUGUUCAUAUUGUUGUGUGAAACUCUUGGAACUCUUAAGGGGGCUGCUUUUUGUACUCUUAAAAGGAGGAGCUUUGGGGCUCUUGGUCUUUUAAAAGGGAUCUGCACUUUGUCCUCUUAAGAGGGAGUUUCUUUGGUAAAUUUUGUCUCUCUGCUGAUUAUCCUUUUUCAGGAUAUAUGCUUGGGUUCGAUAUGGUCUUGGAGCUUAGUGAGUUCUUUAGUUCAUUGAUAUAAUUUCGCUUGUAUUGGGUAGGCAUUUCUUUUCUUUU
RNAcentral lists this long non-coding RNA (477 nucleotides) under Actinidia chinensis (golden kiwifruit). Its description in RNAcentral is "long non-coding RNA (ACHI_LNC008936)". Lineage: Eukaryota; Viridiplantae; Streptophyta; Magnoliopsida; Ericales; Actinidiaceae. The record is from RNAcentral.